GAUGAACGCUAGCGAUAGGCUUAACACAUGCAAGUCGAGGGGCAGCACAAGGUAGCUUGCUAUCUGGGUGGCGACCGGCGCACGGGUGCGUAACGCGUAUGCAACUUGCCCUAUACAGGAGGAUAACCCGUCGAAAGACGGACUAAUACUGCGUAUGCUCACAACUUGGCAUCAAGUGGUGAGGAAAGAAAUUCGGUAUAGGAUAGGCAUGCGUCCCAUUAGCUUGUUGGUGAGGUAACGGCUCACCAAGGCAACGAUGGGUAGGGGAACUGAGAGGUUUAUCCCCCACACUGGUACUGGGCCACGGACCAGACUCCUACGGGAGGCAGCAGUGCGGAAUAUUGGUCAAUGGGCGCGAGCCUGAACCAGCCAAGUCGCGUGAAGGAUGACUGUCUUAUGGAUUGUAAACUUCUUUUAUACGGGAAUAACAAGAGUCACGUGUGACUCCCUGCAUGUACCGUAUGAAUAAGCAUCGGCUAACUCCGUG
Molecule: ribosomal RNA, 487 nt
Filed under: uncultured bacterium
Lineage: Bacteria
Description: partial 16S ribosomal RNA
Rfam family: Bacterial small subunit ribosomal RNA
Source: RNAcentral